UGGAAGGCCCGAACGGGCUGAGACAUGAGGAAAUUCUGCCCCUGGGAAGCAGACAUGUGUUUCUUUAUUAUUAUGUCUGAUUGCAAAAGUAGAACAUCUGGAAAAUACAGACAAAGGUAAAGGGAAAAAAAUCACCAUAACCACCAAGGUAAAGCUUCAGGAUCUUGAACAAACUGAAUAGGCGUGAUGAGAGCACUCCCCAUCUUGGAGGAACGCUGUCCGUCUUUGAUCAUUGAGUAUGCACAGCGGGCUGGGGAUAUGCAGUAGAUACUCUCUCGUGAUGAUGGGCAGUGGCAGCGAGCCCCAGCUCCCAUCAACCAUGGGAUCACGAGGGUGAACACCAGAUACGCUUCCA
RNAcentral lists this long non-coding RNA (355 nucleotides) under Equus caballus (horse). RNAcentral describes it as "lncRNA (ENSECAG00000050697.1)". Lineage: Eukaryota; Metazoa; Chordata; Mammalia; Perissodactyla; Equidae. The record is from RNAcentral.